UGUCUAACUCGAUCGACGUUCGACGAC
This 27-nucleotide small RNA is filed under the name Bombyx mori (domestic silkworm). Its description in RNAcentral is "ovarian small RNA-35751". Lineage: Eukaryota; Metazoa; Arthropoda; Insecta; Lepidoptera; Bombycidae. The record is from RNAcentral.